This 371-nucleotide ribosomal RNA is filed under the name uncultured organism. RNAcentral describes it as "partial 16S ribosomal RNA". It matches the Rfam family "Bacterial small subunit ribosomal RNA", at positions 527 to 896 of the family's 1533-position model. The record is from RNAcentral.
GUAGGUGGCAAGCGUUAUCCGGAAUUAUUGGGCGUAAAGCGCGCGCAGGCGGUUCUUUAAGUCUGAUGUGAAAGCCCACGGCUCAACCGUGGAGGGUCAUUGGAAACUGGAGAACUUGAGUACAGAAGAGGAAAGCGGAAUUCCACGUGUAGCGGUGAAAUGCGUAGAGAUGUGGAGGAACACCAGUGGCGAAGGCGGCUUUCUGGUCUGUAACUGACGCUGAGGCGCGAAAGUGUGGGGAGCAAACAGGAUUAGAUACCCUGGUAGUCCACGCCGUAAACGAUGAGUGCUAAGUGUUAGGGGGUUUCCGCCCCCCUUAGUGCUGCAGCUAACGCAUUAAGCACUCCGCCUGGGAUACGGCCGCAAGGCUG